Molecule: long non-coding RNA, 3110 nt
Filed under: Sus scrofa (pig)
Lineage: Eukaryota; Metazoa; Chordata; Mammalia; Artiodactyla; Suidae
Description: lncRNA (ENSSSCG00000059140.1, ENSSSCG00105021862.1)
Source: RNAcentral
GGGGUGGGGAGAGAAGCGCUGUGAACCAGCGGGAGGCAAGCGAGCGAGGUCUCCGCCGCCCAAUGAACGUGACGAGACCUGGCCACCGGGCCAUGGGGCCCGCCGGGUGGGGCCGCGGCGUGGCAGAUGCGUGGUCCUCGCUCCAGGCUGUAGUUCCUGCCCUGGGCCCUGGCCGGGCCGCACUCCAGACCCACCACCCCGCCUUGCCAGCCGGCUUGCGGGCUGGGAAGUCCCGGCUGAGCUAGGCCGGAGAAAGACUGUGGAGGUGUUCGAUUUUCUCGGCUCCCUCCCCUACCCCCGCCCCGCCUUGAGGGUAUCCCUCACACCUGCCGGGGAGAGAGGAGUCACUCGCUUGCCCGAAGGCCGGCGGGGCUGGCUUACCUGAUUUCUCGUCACCUGCCCCCGAAUCUGGCCUCCCCUAUUCGGCAGAAAGCCUUUUCUUGGCCUAGAAACGCGUCUGGGAGAGGCCGACGGACCCCUGGGCCCCCACUGUCAGAGCCAAAGCCUUCGCCAGGGCUCCCCCCCCCCCCGCCGUCCCCCCGUCCCUGCUCUCUGGAGGUGCUCCUGGCCUGCUGACACUGCGCCUCCGCCCCCCACCCCCCACCCGGCAGCGUCAGCGGGGAGACCCGCAGGGAAGAUCAAACCCAAGCUUUAGGGGACGGGAUGCUGAGCUUAGGCUCCUCAGGCCCAGCCUUGUACAGGUGGGGGGAGGGGAGAGCCCAGGCAGCAGAGUAGCAGGCUUCCCCGUUGUACCCCAAAUCCGACCCUGCCCACUGAGCAUGCCCAGCUCACUUGUUGGAAACUCCAAGUGCUAGAGGAGCUCGAGGGGACCCAAGGAAGGCUAAGAUGGGGUUCAAAUGGAUCCAUUUCUUUAAGGUCUUUCCCACGAAGAUCUCUGGGAGCUUUGCACAUAAUGUUUCUACCGUGGUGCUAUUGGAAAAUACCCAGGAAGAGUUGGAAAGGCCUUUCGAAAAAUGGGGUGGGGGCAGCCAGAUUAGUUCCAAAGAAUAGAAAGCAUGGGUUUUUUUCAGCCAAUUAUUUAUUAAGUCAUUCACUAAUUUCUUUACAUUCCAAAUAAUUAUUAUAAUUGACCAGGAAAUGUGUAGAUUCAUGGAGUCUCAAAUGGUACCAGGAAACCAGCCCAUCCAAUGGGUAGUCUAUCGAGUGGAACAGUGGUUCUCAGCCUUGGAUACACAUUACCAUGGGGGAUGGGGGAGGGGUAUUAAAUGAUCAGUGCCAGGUUCCCAUCCCCUGGAUCCAUGGAAUCAGUCCACGAUGGAACCUAGAAAUCUUUAUAUUUUAAAACUGUGUGUCUCAAAGUGUACCUGGGGGAGCCAGCGGAAGUGGGCAUUACCAGAGAAUUCUGGGGCCAGGGCCUAGCUGAUUGAACAAGUCAUUCCAGAGAUUCAGAUGCACGAUAUCUCUUGAGAACCACUGUUGAAAGCUCCCCCAGAUGACUCACAUGAGCACCCAGGCAGGGUUGAGAACCCCUGUAAUAGAUCAUUGCUUUUACAUGUUUUCAUAUUCUAAAGAUGUGAACAACAUGUUACACAGAAAAGUAAUAAUCAUGUUGAUUUCUGAUGCCAGUCCAGGAUUACCUUCCCACUAAUUCUCCAGGAACAUUUCAGUACUUGGAGACCACCUAUUAUUAUUCACUUUUGUACUUCGGUGCCUAGCACAGUGCCUGUAGCGUAAUAGAUAUUUGAUCAUUGUUUAUUGGUAUGAAAUGAAUGCCUAGGGUAAGAUUUGUUCUAGGCCCUGUUAUGUCCACGGUUUAUUUUCCCCACAAGUCCUAAUCACCUUGCUAGCUAACAAGCCAGGAGGGAUUCAGAUCUCAUCAAUAAGCUGUGACCAUCCAUGAUGGUCCAAUACAAGUCUGACCCUGACAGAAUAGGACGGGGGGAGGUAGAGAAUUUUAAGGAAAGGAAAGUCAGAAGCAUCAGUCAUGAUUUCACUUGCCAAACUUGGGGCCCAAAGCAACCAGAGGAAAGCAGAAGGACACUAGACAUCAGUGGAAUUCAGGAAAGGCAUUGAAGGAAAAAAUGGGAGGGCUUAAGGGAGGAGAGAUAAGAAAGCUUAACAUGAUAAACAUACAACUUAACUCUAGAUCUUUUCAUUCUAAACGACCUACCUCAGCCCUCUUCUUCCCCAUGUUUCAGACACAACCAAUCUCAGCUAAAGCCUUGAAAAACAAUUUUUUAAAAUUAGAGAUUGUUAUAAAAUAGUUAUGUCCCAUGCAUAAACACAUAGCAGAUUUGUAAUUAUUCAACAUAGGUUAACCAUCCACUUUUAUUCAAGACAAAAGUGGUUUUAAAACAUUAAAUGUAUAUAGUGGAUAAUUUUUAAAUGCAGAGGUUUAUAAUACUUCUGCUUUAAGAGCCACAGAGACGUACACAAUCAAGAAGUACUCCACAUUUACUCCAUCAAUAUUUUCUAGAAAGAAUUAAGCGUAAAAAUAAAAUUUUCCUUUAGCCUUAAACAUAACGCUUUAAAAUUGAGGAUAUGAUUUAUGAGUACUUAAAGUGGCUUUCCCCCUGUCUCUUUCUGCCCCUGUGUCUUCCUUAUUUUUUUCAAAUUUUUUUUCUUUUGUCUUUUUGCCUUUUAUAAGGCCACUUCCAAGGCAUAUGGAGUUUCCCAGACUAGGGGUCCAAUCAGAGCCGCAGCUGCCGGCCUACACCAGGGCCACAGCAACUCGGGAUCCGAGCCACCUCUGCAACCUACAUCACAGCUCACGGCAAUGCUGGAUCCUUAACCCACUGAGCAAGGCCAGGGAUCAAACCCACAACCUCAUGGUUCCUAGUCAGAUUCGUUAACCACUGUGCCACAAUGGGAACUCCUGUGUCUUCCUUAUUAUGAUAAGAAUUCCACUGAGGAGUUCUCAUUGUGGCACAGCAGAAAUGAAUUCGAUUAGUAUCCAUGAGGAUGUGGAUUCAAUCAUUGGCCUCGUUCAAUGGGUCAGGGAUCUGGUGUUGCCAUGAGCUGAGAUGUAGGUCUUAGACAAGGUUCAUAUCUGGCAUUUCUGUAACUGUGGCGUAGGCUGGAAGCUGAGGCUCCAAUUCGACCCCCCUUGCAUGGAAACUUACAUAUGCCACGAGUGCAGCCCUAAAAAG